Molecule: ribosomal RNA, 410 nt
Filed under: uncultured bacterium
Lineage: Bacteria
Description: bacterial SSU rRNA
Rfam family: Bacterial small subunit ribosomal RNA
Source: RNAcentral
UGGGGAAUUUUGCGCAAUGGGGGGAACCCUGACGCAGCAACGCCGCGUGCGGGACGAAGGCCUUCGGGUUGUAAACCGCUUUCAGCAGGGAAGACUCAGACGGUACCUGCAGAAGAAGCCCCGGCUAACUACGUGCCAGCAGCCGCGGUAAUACGUAGGGGGCAAGCGUUAUCCGGAUUUACUGGGUGUAAAGGGAGCGUAGACGGAGCAGCAAGUCUGAUGUGAAAGGCGGGGCUCAACCCCGACGCAUGAAUGACUGUUGAUCUUGAGUACCGGAGAGGUAAGCGGAAUUCCUAGUGUAGCGGUGAAAUGCGUAGAUAUUAGGAGGAACACCAGUGGCGAAGGCGGCUUACUGGACGGUAACUGACGUUGAGGCUCGAAAGCGUGGGGAGCAAACAGGAUUAGAUACC